AUUCUGAGCUCAUAAGGUUAUAAUGUAACAUAUAAUGCUAAGGUUUGUACAUAUGUAUGAAUAUCUCGUCCAAGUGGGAGAUUGUUAGAUAUAUGCACUUAUAUCUACAUAUAUAUGAACAAUAUAUGGAUAAAUUAUGUGUUAUGUGCUAUCUUUUGGUUUGGCCUAUAUAAGUGGUCUUAUGGACAUUAUGUUAAGGGUGCCAAUAUAUUGUCAUAUAAAGUGUAGGACUAAUGUGUAGAUACCCAAAAGGGUAACCUUAGUUGAUGAUGCGCUAACU
RNAcentral lists this long non-coding RNA (280 nucleotides) under Nicotiana benthamiana. RNAcentral's name for it is "long non-coding RNA (NBEN_LNC031807)". Lineage: Eukaryota; Viridiplantae; Streptophyta; Magnoliopsida; Solanales; Solanaceae. The record is from RNAcentral.